Molecule: ribosomal RNA, 260 nt
Filed under: uncultured bacterium
Lineage: Bacteria
Description: partial 16S ribosomal RNA
Rfam family: Bacterial small subunit ribosomal RNA
Source: RNAcentral
CGGAGGGUGCAAGCGUUAAAUCGGAAUUACUGGGGCGUAAAAGCGCACGCAGGCGGUUGGAUAAGUUAGAUGUGAAAGCCCCGGGCUCAACCUGGGGAAUUGCAUUUAAAAACUGUCCAGCUAGAGUCUUGUAGAGGGGGGUAGAAUUCCAGGUGUAGCGGUGAAAUGCGUAGAGAUCUGGAGGAAUACCGGUGGCGAAGGCGGCCCCCUGGACAAAGACUGACGCUCAGGUGCGAAAGCGUGGGGAGCAAAACAGGAUU